This 501-nucleotide ribosomal RNA is filed under the name uncultured bacterium. Its description in RNAcentral is "partial 16S ribosomal RNA". It matches the Rfam family "Bacterial small subunit ribosomal RNA", at positions 29 to 523 of the family's 1533-position model. The record is from RNAcentral.
AACGAACGCUGGCGGCAGGCUUAACACAUGCAAGUCGAGCGGAGAGAGGUAGCUUGCUACUGAUCUUAGCGGCGGACGGGUGAGUAAUGCUUAGGAAUCUGCCUAUUAGUGGGGGACAACAUUUCGAAAGGAAUGCUAAUACCGCAUACGUCCUACGGGAGAAAGCAGGGGAUCUUCGGACCUUGCGCUAAUAGAUGAGCCUAAGUCGGAUUAGCUAGUUGGUGGGGUAAAGGCCUACCAAGGCGACGAUCUGUAGCGGGUCUGAGAGGAUGAUCCGCCAGACUGGGACUGAGACACGCCCCAGACUCCUACGGUAGGCAGCAGUGGGGAAUAUUGGACAAUGGGCGGAAGCCUGAUCCAGCCAUGCCGCGUGUGUGAAGAAGGCCUUAUGGUUGUAAAGCACUUUAAGCGAGGAGGAGGCUACUUUAGUUAAUACCUAGAGAUAGUGGACGUUACUCGCAGAAUAAGCACCGGCUAACUCUGUGCCAGCAGCCGCCGUAA